This 444-nucleotide ribosomal RNA is filed under the name Triticum aestivum (bread wheat). RNAcentral's name for it is "partial small subunit ribosomal RNA". Lineage: Eukaryota; Viridiplantae; Streptophyta; Magnoliopsida; Poales; Poaceae. The record is from RNAcentral.
AUGAAGGAGCUGGGACUGAAGAAGGAGGACUUGGACGACGUGGUCUUCGAUGAGCAACCAGCGUCGCCGGAGGGGGCGAGAUGGGUAGCCCUAGCUAGGGUUAACACCUCCAAAACCUACAGCCAUACUUGGUUCUUUAGAAACAUGAGAUCGGCAUGGGAUAUUGCGCAGGAGGCCAGGUUCAAACCCCUAGAGGAAAACUUGUACACGGUCACAUUCACUUGUUUGGGUGACUGGGAGAGAGUAAUGAACGACGACCCAUGGAAUUUCAGGGGAGAUGCGUUGAUUCUACUGCCAUAUGACGGGAUAACGAAGCCGUCCACUGUGAAGCUUGAGACAAUCGACAUAUGGAUCCAAAUCCAUGACGUACCAGAGUUGUAUGUGUUGGAAAUAUGCCCUAGAGGCAAUAAUAAAUUAGUUAUUAUUAUAUUUCCUUGUUCAUGA